ACGUAGGGUGCGAGCGUUAAUCGGAAUUACUGGGCGUAAAGCGUGCGCAGGCGGUUCGCUAAGACAGGUGUGAAAUCCCCGGGCUUAACCUGGGAAUGGCGCUUGGGACUGGCGGGCUGGAGUGCGGUAGAGGGGGGUGGAAUUUCACGUGUAGCGGUGAAAUGCGUAGAGAUGUGGAGGAACACCGAUGGCGAAGGCAGCCCCCUGGGUCGAUACUGACGCUCAUGUACGAAAGCGUGGGGAGCAAACGG
This 251-nucleotide ribosomal RNA is filed under the name uncultured prokaryote. RNAcentral's name for it is "partial 16S ribosomal RNA". It matches the Rfam family "Bacterial small subunit ribosomal RNA", at positions 525 to 775 of the family's 1533-position model. The record is from RNAcentral.